RNAcentral lists this ribosomal RNA (253 nucleotides) under uncultured bacterium. RNAcentral describes it as "partial 16S ribosomal RNA". It matches the Rfam family "Bacterial small subunit ribosomal RNA", at positions 524 to 776 of the family's 1533-position model. The record is from RNAcentral.
UACGGAGGGGGCUAGCGUUGUUCGGAAUUCCUGGGCGUAAAGCGCACGUAGGCGGCUUUGCAAGUCAGAGGUGAAAGCCCGGGGCUCAACCCCGGAAUUGCCUUUGAGACUGCAUCGCUAGAAUUGUGGAGAGGUGAGUGGAAUUCCGAGUGUAGAGGUGAAAUUCGUAGAUAUUCGGAAGAACACCAGUGGCGAAGGCGACUCACUGGACACAUAUUGACGCUGAGGUGCGAAAGCGUGGGGAGCAAACAGG